This 456-nucleotide ribosomal RNA is filed under the name Streptococcus sanguinis. Its description in RNAcentral is "bacterial SSU rRNA". It matches the Rfam family "Bacterial small subunit ribosomal RNA", at positions 28 to 468 of the family's 1533-position model. Lineage: Bacteria; Bacillati; Bacillota; Bacilli; Lactobacillales; Streptococcaceae. The record is from RNAcentral.
GACGAACGCUGGCGGCGUGCCUAAUACAUGCAAGUAGAACGCUGAAGAGAGGAGCUUGCUCUUCUUGGAUGAGUUGCGAACGGGUGAGUAACGCGUAGGUAACCUGCCUGGUAGCGGGGGAUAACUAUUGGAAACGAUAGCUAAUACCGCAUGAUAUUGAAUAUCGCAUGAUAAUUGAUUGAAAGGUGCAAUUGCAUCACUACCAGAUGGACCUGCGUUGUAUUAGCUAGUUGGUGAGGUAACGGCUCACCAAGGCGACGAUACAUAGCCGACCUGAGAGGGUGAUCGGCCACACUGGGACUGAGACACGGCCCAGACUCCUACGGGAGGCAGCAGUAGGGAAUCUUCGGCAAUGGGGGGAACCCUGACCGAGCAACGCCGCGUGAGUGAAGAAGGUUUUCGGAUCGUAAAGCUCUGUUGUAAGAGAAGAACGGGUGUGAGAGUGGAAAGUUCACG